ACGGUGUGUUGAUGGGGACUUGACUCUUUCUACAACUUAUUCAUUACUAUUUUCAGGACCUUCUCAAUGACCUGGCUGCUUGCGUGUUCCUUGGAGGUGGCGCAUUCUUUGCUUCGAGGAAAGUAGAAAAGCCAUUUAACUACUUUGUCGCUAUGAUCCUUAUGGCUGUGGCUGCAUUUCUUUGUUUCAUUGAUGUAUGUCUUCAAAGAAGACACUUCAAAGGCAAGAAGCCCAAAAAGAAUGUACCAGGAGCCCCGGGAGCCCCGGGAGCGGGAGCCCCGGGAGCGGCAGCCAAGUAACCACCAGCAGGAAAGAAGUAACUCAAAUGCAA
RNAcentral lists this long non-coding RNA (331 nucleotides) under Cavia porcellus (domestic guinea pig). Its description in RNAcentral is "lncRNA (ENSCPOG00000033570.1)". The record is from RNAcentral. Lineage: Eukaryota; Metazoa; Chordata; Mammalia; Rodentia; Caviidae.